GAGUUUGAUCAUGGCUCAGAUUGAACGCUGGCGGCAUGCCUUACACAUGCAAGUCGAACGGCAGCAUGAUCUAGCUUGCUAGAUUGAUGGCGAGUGGCGAACGGGUGAGUAAUACAUCGGAACGUGCCCUGUAGUGGGGAUAACUAGUCGAAAGAUUAGCUAAUGCCGCAUACGACCUGAGGGUGAAAGUGGGGGACCGCAAGGCCUCAUGCUAUAGGAGCGGCCGAUGUCUGAUUAGCUAGUUGGUGGGGUAAAGGCCCACCAAGGCGACGAUCAGUAGCUGGUCUGAGAGGACGAUCAGCCACACUGGGACUGAGACACGGCCCAGACUCCUACGGGAGGCAGGCAGUGGGGAAUUUUGGACAAUGGGCGAAAGCCUGAUCCAGCAAUGCCGCGUGUGUGAAGAAGGCCUGG
This 414-nucleotide ribosomal RNA is filed under the name uncultured microorganism. RNAcentral's name for it is "bacterial SSU rRNA". It matches the Rfam family "Bacterial small subunit ribosomal RNA", at positions 9 to 419 of the family's 1533-position model. The record is from RNAcentral.